RNAcentral lists this ribosomal RNA (378 nucleotides) under uncultured eukaryote. Its description in RNAcentral is "partial 18S ribosomal RNA". It matches the Rfam family "Eukaryotic small subunit ribosomal RNA", at positions 592 to 975 of the family's 1831-position model. The record is from RNAcentral.
CAAUAGCGUAUAUUUAAGUUGUUGCAGUUAAAAAGCUCGUAGUUGGAUUUCGGAUGGGAUCUGCCGGUCCGCCUUUGAGGUGUGUACUGGUAGGUCCUAUCUUGUUGUCGGGGACCAGCUCCUGGGCUUCACUGUCCGGGACUAGGAGCUGACGAGGUUACUUUGAGUAAAUUAGAGUGUUCAAAGCAAGCCUACGCUCUGAAUACAUUAGCAUGGAAUAACACGAUAGGACUCUGGCUUAUCUUGUUGGUCUGUGAGACCAGAGUAAUGAUUAAGAGGGACAGUCGGGGGCAUUCGUAUUUCAUUGUCAGAGGUGAAAUUCUUGGAUUUAUGAAAGACGAACUUCUGCGAAAGCAUUUGUCAAGGAUGUUUNCAUUA